UCUCCGUUGGUGAACCAGCGGAGGGAUCAUUACAGAGUUUUCACAACUCCCAACCCUUGCGAACCGUACCCAUUCUGUUCUCGUUGCUUCCGGCGGGGGGGGCGGGGGGGCCCGAAACGGCCUCCCCGCCCCGCACGCCGGGGGCGGCGGGCCCCACGAACCUUUCUCUUUCAACCACCAGAAACCAUCUGAGAAAACAAACAAAAUAAUCAAAACUUUCAACAACGUACCUCUUGGCUCUGGCAUCGAUUAAGAACGCACCAGAUCGGAAGAGCACAC
This 279-nucleotide unclassified non-coding RNA is filed under the name plant metagenome. RNAcentral describes it as "partial contains small subunit ribosomal RNA, internal transcribed spacer 1, and 5.8S ribosomal RNA". The record is from RNAcentral.